Molecule: ribosomal RNA, 483 nt
Filed under: uncultured bacterium
Lineage: Bacteria
Description: partial 16S ribosomal RNA
Rfam family: Bacterial small subunit ribosomal RNA
Source: RNAcentral
UUGAACGCUGGCGGCAGGCCUAACACAUGCAAGUCGAGCGGAUGAAGGGAGCUUGCUCCUGGAUUCAGCGGCGGACGGGUGAGUAAUGCCUAGGAAUCUGCCUGGUAGUGGGGGAUAACGUCCGGAAACGGGCGCUAAUACCGCAUACGUCCUGAGGGAGAAAGUGGGGGAUCUUCGGACCUCACGCUAUCAGAUGAGCCUAGGUCGGAUUAGCUAGUUGGUGGGGUAAAGGCCUACCAAGGCGACGAUCCGUAACUGGUCUGAGAGGAUGGUCAGUCACACUGGAACUGAGACACGGUCCAGACUCCUACGGGAGGCAGCAGUGGGGAAUAUUGGACAAUGGGCGAAAGCCUGAUCCAGCCAUGCCGCGUGUGUGAAGAAGGUCUUCGGAUUGUAAAGCACUUUAAGUUGGGAGGAAGGGCAGCAAGUUAAUACCUUGCUGUUUUGACGUUACCAACAGAAUAAGCACCGGCUAACUUCGUG